Molecule: long non-coding RNA, 323 nt
Filed under: Callithrix jacchus (white-tufted-ear marmoset)
Lineage: Eukaryota; Metazoa; Chordata; Mammalia; Primates; Cebidae
Description: lncRNA (ENSCJAG00000057644.2)
Source: RNAcentral
CAGGGACCCAGUGGACCAGCAGGUGAGUCCAACUGCUGGUCCUGUGUUCUGGGCUCUUGUACACUGGCAGAACAAUGAGGAUUUGAUUUUGAUUCUUUUUGAGUUCUUGUUUUAUUUCUGGUGCCAGCUUCAUUUGGCUUAAUGUUGUGACCAUUUGGUGAUCUCUGUAAGUGGAUUAAUGGUUUAGAGAUAUUUCUGUUAAGGGAAAGACAAAAGAAAAAUCUGAAACAGCAAGAAGUCCGCUCACCAAGAAGAGGACCCUCACCAGACACUGGAUUUACUGGCAUCUUGAUCUUGGAUUUUCUAGCCUCUAUAACUGUGAG